RNAcentral lists this ribosomal RNA (752 nucleotides) under uncultured bacterium. Its description in RNAcentral is "bacterial SSU rRNA". It matches the Rfam family "Bacterial small subunit ribosomal RNA", at positions 8 to 796 of the family's 1533-position model. The record is from RNAcentral.
AGAGUUUGAUCCUGGCUCAGAAUCAACGCUGGCGGCGCGCUUAACACAUGCAAGUCGCACGAGAAAGGGAGCAAUCCUGAGUAAAGUGGCGUACGGGUGAGUAACACGUGGAUCAUCUACCUUUUAGUGGGGAAUACCCCCGGGAAACUGGGGACAAUACCGCAUAAGCUCGUGAGAGGAAAGCAGCGAUGCGCUGAAAGAGGAGUCCGCGGCUGAUUAGCUAGUUGGUGAGGUAACGGCCCACCAAGGCGAAGAUCGGUAGCCGGCCUGAGAGGGCACACGGCCACACUGGCACUGAAACACGGGCCAGACUCCUACGGGAGGCAGCAGUGGGGAAUCUUGCACAAUGGAGGAAACUCUGAUGCAGCGACGCCGCGUGAGCGAUGAAGCCCUUCGGGGUGUAAAGCUCUUUCGACGGGAACGAUAAUGACGGUACCCGAAGAAGAAGCUGCGGCUAACUACGUGCCAGCAGCCGCGGUAAUACGUAGGCAGCAAGCGUUGUUCGGAAUUACUGGGCGUAAAGAGUGUGUAGGCGGUGCACUAAGUCUGUCGUGAAAUCUCCCGGCUUAACUGGGAGGGUGCGGCGGAAACUGGUGUGCUUGAGGAUGGGAGAGGUAAGCGGAAUUCCUGGUGUAGCGGUGAAAUGCGUAGAUAUCAGGAGGAACACCUGGUGUAGACAGCUUACUGGACCAUUUCUGACGCUGAGACACGAAAGCGUGGGUAGCAAACAGGAUUAGAUACCCUAGUAGUCC